This 389-nucleotide ribosomal RNA is filed under the name Salmonella enterica subsp. enterica serovar Kentucky. Its description in RNAcentral is "bacterial LSU rRNA". The stretch from base 51 to 389 matches the Rfam family "Bacterial large subunit ribosomal RNA", at positions 566 to 908 of the family's 2925-position model. Lineage: Bacteria; Pseudomonadati; Pseudomonadota; Gammaproteobacteria; Enterobacterales; Enterobacteriaceae. The record is from RNAcentral.
CUUUGCUGAAGGUGCGGUUAACGGAGCGCAAGCGACGCCCAACACACAAAACAAGCGGUGAGUGCUUUGGGGUGGGGUGACUGCGUACCUUUUGUAUAAUGGGUCAGCGACUUAUAUUCUGUAGCAAGGUUAACCGAAUAGGGGAGCCGGAGGGAAACCGAGUCUUAAUUGGGCGUUAAGUUGCAGGGUAUAGACCCGAAACCCGGUGAUCUAGCCAUGGGCAGGUUGAAGGUUGGGUAACACUAACUGGAGGACCGAACCGACUAAUGUUGAAAAAUUAGCGGAUGACCUGUGGCUGGGGGUGAAAGGCCAAUCAAACCGGGAGAUAGCUGGUUCUCCCCGAAAGCUAUUUAGGUAGCGCCUCGUGAAUUCAUCUCCGGGGGUAGAGC